AAAACAAAAAAACCAAAAUCACAGCUCCAAAUAAAGGUGGUUACACACAGCUCAAGUUGUUCCUGUCUGGUUUACAAACAGAUGGAAAAGAACUAUUUUCCUGUCCGCAGAAGCACCAUAAUGCUGAGAGCAAAGCCAAUUGUUCUAGCAGGUUCUGAAAAAAAAUCUUUCAGAUCAUGGGGUUCAAUGCCAAUAUCAAAUCGUAAAUAUAAGGAUCAAAUCUGAAAGUGAAUCCAGUUUCAGAGACCUCAGAAGCCACUGUGGAAGAACCUCCUUUCAGAUAGAGACAAGGGAUUGCGUGACUUUUUAUCUCUCGUGUCCACCGAAGUGUUCAGAACAUGACAGAUACUCCAUGUGCGUAGUCACAUUCUGUGUAUGUGCAUUUAUUUUCCAGCAGGACUAGAGGGCCUAAGCUUUGUUUCUAUGGUGACCCAGGGCCCAAAUGAGCAGUAGAAUCUUAGCGCAGUCGCCUACACGCCCAUUUUAAUUCUGUCCUUAUCCAAGCUGGUCAAAGUGUGGUCUGUAUUUUAAGGAGAUCCCCAGGUGAAUCUUGUGCAUGUCGAAAGAGGAGAGCACGGCCCUCAAAAUACAGAGCAGACAACCUGGGAGCUGUGACUCAUGCCUAAAAUCUCAGCACUUUGGGAGGCCAAGGAGGGAGAAUUGCUUGAGCCCUGAAGUUCAAGACCAGCCUGGGCAACAUAGUGAAACCUCAUCUCUACAAAAAAUUAAAAUUUAGACAAGUAUAGUGCCACAUGCCUGUAGUCCCAGCUACUCAGGAGGCUGUAGUGAGAGGAUCACUUGACCCCAGGAGUUCAAGACCACCGUGAGCUGUGAUCAUGCCACUGCACUCUAGCCUUGGAGACAGAGCAAGAUCUCAUCUCAAAACAUAAAACAACAAAAAACACUAUAAACUCACUUCAGAGGUAUUGGGGAUUUGGUUCAAGACCACUGCAAUAAGACAAAUGUUGCAAUGAAGUUAGUCAUGCAAAUUAUUUGGUUUCCGAGUGCAUAUAAAAGUUAUGUUUAAACGAUACUGCAGUCUAACGAGUAUGUUAAU
RNAcentral lists this long non-coding RNA (1057 nucleotides) under Callithrix jacchus (white-tufted-ear marmoset). Its description in RNAcentral is "lncRNA (ENSCJAG00000078812.1)". The record is from RNAcentral. Lineage: Eukaryota; Metazoa; Chordata; Mammalia; Primates; Cebidae.